Molecule: non-coding RNA, 781 nt
Organism: Cinara cedri
Lineage: Eukaryota; Metazoa; Arthropoda; Insecta; Hemiptera; Aphididae
Source: the annotation of a GenBank genome assembly
UGUCGAAAACAAUCCAAAUAUUUUCCCAUCACCCCUAAGAGAAACGAUUCCACUAUGAAAAGUUUGAUCGGCAUGUACGGCACAAAUCAGCACAAAUGUAGCACACACAAGACUCUUGGUUUCAUUUCGAAAUUUGAAGGGAGGGGGGCUGGGGUGCCAGGGAAAUGGACCUAAUGUACUUUUAUUUAUGUUGAAAAUUCGGAUACAGAUGACACAUCUUAUGAAAUCUCUCUAAAAAAAUAAAAUAAAAAACGUGUCAUAUUUGCUCGUGUUCGUGAAUUCUCAGAAAAAUUUACAAUUAAUCUCGUUGAAAAUACAUAAUUCUGUUAGUUCUUUGAAAUCGUUUAUUAAAGUUUUACAAAUCAUAGAGAACGAUAAUAAUUCUAUAAUUGUGUAUGAAAACAAAUAAGGUAUACGGAAUCGUUUAUACUUAUACCCUUUACAUAACAUUAUGCCACUGCGUUUUUCCAGAAAGGUUUCCUUUUUUUUUUUUUUUGGAAAAUGUUCCUACAAUUUUAUCUCUGGUAAUCUGGUCAUUCGAACGUUUCUUAAUUUAAACGUUUCAUUCAUUUGGAAAACAAAUUGAUGAAAAAAAAAAAAAACUAUAGAACGAAAUGUUAUUAUAUUAUUAUAAAUUCGUAACGAAAAAUGUAGAUAACUGAAAAAGGUUAGAGUACGCCGCGAUUGUAUAAAAUAGAAAUUACAUUAUAUGAAUCCGACUGAAUUUAAGGUAUAAGUAGUACAAAUAUUAGGUAUUUACGUAUACAGUAUAUAAAUACUA